Molecule: transfer RNA, 51 nt
Filed under: Gmelinoides fasciatus
Lineage: Eukaryota; Metazoa; Arthropoda; Malacostraca; Amphipoda; Micruropodidae
Description: tRNA-Ser
Source: RNAcentral
UAAGUGUAAAAAAGACUUCUAAUCUUUAAUGAGCAACUGUGCUACGCUUAA